GUUACCCAAAAUACCGAGCUUCUCUCUUUGAUUUUUCAAGUCAUGUGGUGUGAAAUCGUGGCCCCUUCAUAGUUUCUCUUCUCACCUUUCAUCAAAACCUAAUAAUUUCAUCUCAUCUCAUUUCAUAUCAUACUUCUAUGAUUUGGCGCAGGAUUGAGAAAUCCAUAAUUUCCUGUUUUGUCUUAUUGGGAUGGAUAAUGGUGAGAAUGGUAAACAAUUCAUUUCCAAUCAAUUCCAGGGUCGGAUAUAACGAUUUGCACGCUGCAUUGCUCAGGAAUGGAUUUUACCUUGUUACAACCGAUCCUACUCCUCCUACCCCUGUUACCACCAUCUCCUAGCAAGCCAUGUUCAAUUUCAACCGUCGUUUUCUGAGCAGUACCACGGUACAUACCGGACGCAACAAUGUACACGCUUCUGGUGCGGGAUGCAAGUGCACAAGGUCGACGAAAUAAGCAAAAUAGAAAGAACUCAGGUAUCAAGAAGAAAUGGUUUAUACAUUCUCACAAUCAUGUUGGGCAUCGUGUUAUGAAGAAGCUGUGUGUUGUUUAUGCUCACCUCUGAAUGUUUGUUUGGCUUCUGGAGAUUUGCAUAAGAGAGAUUUUCAUCAUUGCAUCAAUCAAUGGGGUCAUUUCUUGAUUGCUUUUCCACAGGCUUUUGAUAUAGUGUUAGAAUCUUUAGAGGAUCAGCAAGAGGAUGUACAGGCUGCAAUCUUGGAGAGGAGGAAUUUUAUUACACAAGAACUCCAAUGGCAUGCUUCAUUCAUCCAAGAGUGCGAUUUAGACCCUACAGCAGAGACCACUCAGCACUCUGUGACAGCCAAAUACGUUAACUUCUUGUUAGCCACUGCGUCUGGUAAUCAAGAUAUGGUACAUCUUGAAAUUCCAACGCCAGCUGAGAAGUUGAAGAUUGCUGCUCAUGUUCUUAGUGCUAUAACGCCAUGUGUGCGGGUCUCUGCCACGCUUGCUAAGCUUAUUAAGCCACUCACUAGACGUAACAAACGACCUCGCCGAUUCAAUAUGUCGAUCGAUAGAUGCUCCUCUGAUGAAUUCGAGGCCUUAACUGUGCAAACUGAGAGGUUACUUGAUUGGCUAAGCAACUCUUUGACGGACGAAGAGCGUAAAGUUCUGGGGGAGGUUUAUCAUCAAGCUAUGAAGCUUGAAGUAGAGUUUUUCUAUUCUCGCCUGUCUGUGCCUACUAAGCUCAUCCCUGUAUCACUCCUGCAUAAUCGUGAGGAGUGUCUCCUGCUAUUUUCUGUUUUUGACUUUGCAUGCACUGCUGUGGAUUCUUUGCAAGGGUUAGAACAAAUGACAUAGUCAACUGCCAAAGAGAAGUCAAUAGUUGGGCUGCCUCCUCGUCCUGGUCGAAGGCCUCGUCCUGGUCGAAGGCCUCGUCCAGGGAACACACAUCUUCAAAUGUCACGUGCGGAUUUGCAAAAAGCAUGGGAUGCUAUUGUUGUCUUUGAUAAGAGGGAGAUGGAUAAAUGGUUGCUGAAAAUUCUGGCCAUUCCAUAGCUGUGGGUUUUGACUACGACGGUCUUUGCAAAGUACUUGAGCAGCUCUCCGUUAUCAGGGAUAAUGGAAUUUCAAGAAUAAUUGAGACAGGUGUCCUGAAGGGUCUAAGCUUAUCGCGAAUGCAGCUCGCGGGGACAAGAAUGAAUCUCUAUUAUGGUUGUAUGAAUUUUUUUGAAAAGGUUUUCAGAAACGAAGCACUGAAUGCAUCAGUCCGUGUAAUUUCAUGCUGGUGUGAGGAUCGAAUGAGGUCGGCACUUCCAGGAUUACAUGCAAGCCUAGUAAUCCCUGUCCCUUCAACCAUUAUCCCCCCAUGCAAGGGCACACAGGAGGAAUUGGAUGAUCCACCUGGGAAAGAAGCAGAUGCCAUCUUGAUGAAGAUGCUGACCCUUUUGCCUUUCUACAUGUGUAGAUUCUGCAAGUGUUUCAUUGCAGCAACCGAACACAUGCACCAUUGACAAGGAGAUGAAUUACUGUGUUCUGUAUACCCUAGAAACCAAUACUACUUUUGUUCUGAGCCAGAAGUCGAGUGGCAACUAUAUGAGGAAGAACCACAGCACAUUAUAUAUCAUCAUAAUAUGGUAUAUUUUGAUGCCAAAUUGUUCUGCAUCGAGUGUGAAAGAAGAGGAAACGCAAAAAACCUUUUGGGCCAAAGACUGGGUCUGAUGGUUUGGGAUAAUCAUACUCGAAGACUAAGAAGACAUUCAAGCUCGGAGGUCUUCAUCCUCGUUUCUAAAGUAGAACAGGCGGUACAGUGAAGCAGUUCAUUGCAGGCACAUUAUCUCCCACAGACAUCCAAAUAUUCAAAAAAAAAAAGGGUGAUAUUUCUGUUCUAGUUUUGUAAUAUAACCUUAGUUUCCUUUUCUGUUUGCUACUCUUUUUUUUUUGUUUU
This is an RNA transcript of Papaver somniferum (opium poppy), 2400 nucleotides long. It is a transcript of the gene named bifunctional TH2 protein, mitochondrial-like, with no coding region annotated. The record is from RefSeq and is a predicted model, not a curated record. The transcript has 10 exons. Lineage: Eukaryota; Viridiplantae; Streptophyta; Magnoliopsida; Ranunculales; Papaveraceae.